AUCUCUCAACCGAUUUGGGCGAUUCUAAAGGCAAAAUUGUGAGAUUUUUCGAGGACAACGCGUUGGUGAGCUUGGAUAGUGAUUUGGGGUCCCCGUUUGAGCCAUUCUAGGUCCGAUUUCAGUGAUUUUUUGAGGCUAUCUUGAGUGGUUUUUCGAGGAGAACGUCGUGGUGUUGUCGCAUUUCAAUGUAGACCUCCAGUUUCUGCGGGGCAGCGUUUCGAGGACAUUUGGAAAGGGAAAGCUCCGAAGAAGUGAUUUUGGAGCGCGUGUGAUCGGCUUACAGGUAGGCUACGGUUUCCCUCUCUUAGAUUGAGCUUGAGAGUGUGAAUGCAUGUUGAUUAGUUGGGAUUUGGGUUGGUAGUGAUUGAAUCAUGCAUAGGUGUUUGGAAAUCAUGUUUUCGGCCUAUUUCAAGAACU
Molecule: long non-coding RNA, 417 nt
Organism: Solanum tuberosum (potato)
Lineage: Eukaryota; Viridiplantae; Streptophyta; Magnoliopsida; Solanales; Solanaceae
Exons: 3
Source: RefSeq, a predicted model, not a curated record